This 489-nucleotide long non-coding RNA is filed under the name Gossypium raimondii (Peruvian cotton). RNAcentral's name for it is "long non-coding RNA (GRAI_LNC002740)". Lineage: Eukaryota; Viridiplantae; Streptophyta; Magnoliopsida; Malvales; Malvaceae. The record is from RNAcentral.
CAGAUUCGACCAUAAUGUUUAGGUCGGGUUUGGGGUGUUACAGAGGAGUUAUAAGGUUCAGCUAAAAAGAGGGCAGAAAAGAGUAAUAGAAAGAAAAUUAAAUAAAAAAAAGAAGAGGAGGAGGACUUGCAGGGGCGCACGAUGGCGACCACGGCGGCGCUCACAUCGGUGAGGAGAGGAGUGAGAUGAAAAUAGUAGAGGAGCGACAGCCAUGAGAGGUGGUGAUUAGUGGAAAGAAGUUUGGGUUAUGGUGGAGGAAGAAAAAGAUUAGGAGGAUGGUGGUGGUUGUUUCGGAAAAUGAGAGAAAAUAUUGAGAAAAGAAAAUAAAAAAAAUGAAAGAAAGUGAAAGGGAGAGGGAGGGGAGUAUGGACAACAAUGCAAGGGAAGAAGGCUUGGUCAACCAUAGCCAAGUUCAAUGUGUCAUGCAACAAGGUAAGAGGCGAGGUUAUUGCUAGGACCAUAAAAGUCCCAAAUUAUCUUUAAAAUCCA